UCGAGAAUUUUUCACAAUGGGCGCAAGCCUGAUGGAGCAACGCCGCGUGGGUGAUGAAGGUCUUCGGAUCGUAAAACCCUGUCGUCAGGGACGAAGGUCGCGAGUUUAAGAGAUGCGCGACUUGACGGUACCUGGAGAGGAAGCCCCGGCUAACUCUGUGCCAGCAGCCGCGGUAAUACAGAGGGGGCAAGCGUUAUUCGGAAUUAUUGGGCGUAAAGGGAGCGUAGGCGGUGUCUUAAGUGAGAUGUGUAAUCCCCGGGCUUAACUUGGGAACUGCAUCUCAGACUGGGGCGCUAGAGUACUGGAGAGGGUGGUGGAAUUCCACGUGUAGCGGUGAAAUGCGUAGAGAUGUGGAGGAACACCAGUGGCGAAGGCGGCCACCUGGACAGUGACUGACGCUGAGGCGCGAAAGUGUGGGGAGCAAACA
This 427-nucleotide ribosomal RNA is filed under the name uncultured prokaryote. Its description in RNAcentral is "bacterial SSU rRNA". It matches the Rfam family "Bacterial small subunit ribosomal RNA", at positions 355 to 774 of the family's 1533-position model. The record is from RNAcentral.